CAGUUAAAACAGAGUACAUUCAUGUGGUAUAUUUUGAAAUUGGCAUAUACAAUGAAAUAAGGAACAAGACUGCUUUCUCUCUAAUCACUUGCCUUAUUAGUUGGUCAUUGACUGUGAAAAAAGAAAGCCUUCCAGUUUUAUGAGAUAGAACUUAAAUGGUCCUUUGGAGAUUGUGAACUUCACAUCCUUAGAGGAAAUGUCAGGAAAAUUGAAGUCCUCAUGGUUUGGCUGAAUAUUCUUCCUGGAACUUUUUGAAACAAGAACUCAGUGUGCAACAGUUAAAUUGGAUAACUUUUUCACAGCGCGUAUCCCAAAACCCUGGGACCCUAGGUUACAUGCCAUUUCCACAUCUCCUCUUUUCCCACUACUUUGUUAUUUACUGAUUGGGUAGAGAAAAUGAGACUGUUUAUUAAAAUUCACACAUACAUAGAGACUUUAUUUAAACAUAGGUGUGUGUAAUUUUCAAUCAAAAUGGUGUCUAGUGUUUUGCUUUGUUCCCAGUACAAUAAAUUAUGUAUAUUUAAUAAUUUUAAAAAAUAAAACCAAUGAUGGAUACUCUUAAGGUUUAGGUUAAGAUUCCAAAUGCUACUAAUCAAGGUUUGAAACAGACAGUUCCUUUAAAGGGAUAAACAGGCAACUCAUGUAAAACAUACGCUAACUGGAGUAACAUAGGCUCUGACAAUUAACUAAAUAAAGAAAAUGGCAUCAUGGAGGGUAGAUGUUCAGAAUCCAGAAGCAAAUUUGGAGAAAUAUUAUUGUGAUAUAUAAGAAUGCAGAAAAAAAAUUCAGGAAAUGCAAAAAUGAUCUGUAAAAUGGUAAAUGUUUUAAAGAAAUUAUACCAUAUGCAUGGAACAUUUUAAUGACUUGUAGAUAUCUCCUCAUAUGCAAGGUAUCAUUCUGGUUGCUAUUUGCUAAGUGGCAAGAGAUAGCACCCUCUCAGUGGAAGAGUAGGGAAAGGGGAGUCACUGUAUUCUCACUUCUCAUGUACACCAGCUAACUAAUUUUGGAGCAACUGACAAAAUAUUAUCAAGCUGCAAUGUUAAAGAAAAAAGAGAUCCCAUUUGUCA
This 1067-nucleotide long non-coding RNA is filed under the name Homo sapiens (human). RNAcentral describes it as "HSALNT0374324". The record is from RNAcentral. Lineage: Eukaryota; Metazoa; Chordata; Mammalia; Primates; Hominidae.